UUUCCGGUUGAUCCCGCCCGGAAGGCCAUUGCUAUCGGAGUCCGAUUUAGGCCAUGCUAGUCGAGCGAGGUUAGCCCUCGCGGCGAACAGCUCAGUAACACGUGGCCAAGCUACCCUGCAGAGGGGGGACAGCGUCGGGAAACUGACGGGAAUCCCCCAUACCGGUCUCACGCUGGAAUGCCGAGACCGACAAACGCUCCGGCGCUGCAGGAUGCGGCUGCGGCCGAUUAGGUAGUCGGUGGGGUAACGGCCCACCGAGCCGAUAAUUGGUACGGGGUGUGAGAGCACGAGCCCGGAGACGGAAUCUGAGACAAGAUUCCGGGCCCUACGGGGCGCAGCAGGCGCGAAACCUUUACACUGCACGAAGGUGCGAUAAGGGGACUCCGAGUGCGAGGGCAUACAGUCCUCGCUAUUGUGUACCGUAGGGUGGUACACGACCAAGAGCUGGGCAAGACCGGUGCCAGCCGCCGCGGUAAUACCGGCAGCUCGAGUGAUGGCCGAUUUUAUUGGGCCUAAAGCGUCCGUAGCUGGCCCUGCAAGUCCGUCGGGAAAUCCACUCGCCUAACGAGUGGGCGUCCGGCGGAAACUACAGGGCUUGGGACCGGAAGACUUGAGGGGUACGUCUGGGGUAGGAGUGAAAUCCUGUAAUCCUGGACGGACCGCCGAUGGCGAAAGCACCUCAAGACGACGGAUCCGACAGUGAGGGACGAAAGCUAGGGUCUCGAACCGGAUUAGAUACCCGGGUAGUCCUAGCCGUAAACGAUGUUCGCUAGAUGUGGCACAGGCUGCGUGCCUGUGCUGUGUCGUAGGGAAGCCGAGAAGCGAACCGCCUGGGAAGUACGUCCGCAAGGAUGAAACUUAAAGGAAUUGGCGGGGGAGCACUACAACCGGAGGAGCCUGCGGUUUAAUUGGAUUCAACGCCGGG
Molecule: ribosomal RNA, 925 nt
Filed under: uncultured archaeon
Lineage: Archaea
Description: bacterial SSU rRNA
Rfam family: Archaeal small subunit ribosomal RNA
Source: RNAcentral